Molecule: microRNA precursor, 70 nt
Filed under: Drosophila ananassae
Lineage: Eukaryota; Metazoa; Arthropoda; Insecta; Diptera; Drosophilidae
Description: Dan-Mir-2-P9_pre stem-loop
Source: RNAcentral
CUAAGGAAAUAGUAGCCGUGAUUUUACCCUCGAAGUCAUUCCCAUAUCACAGUUGCUGUUUCUUUUAGAU